GAUAAACGCUGGCGGCGCACAUAAGACAUGCAAGUCGAACGAACUUAAUACCUUGCUUGCAAGGUAAGCGGUUAGUGGCGGACUGGUGAGUAACACGUAAGAAAUCUGCCUAUCAGAGGGGAAUAACAGUGAGAAAUCACUGCUAAUACCGCAUAUGCCAUAGGAAUCGCAUGAUUCUAGUGGGAAAGGAGCAAUCCGCUGAUAGAUGAGCUUGCGUCUGAUUAGCUAGUUGGUGGGGUAAAGGCCUACCAAGGCGACGAUCAGUAGCCGGACUGAGAGGUUGAACGGCCACAUUGGGACUGAGAUACGGCCCAGACUCCUACGGGAGGCAGCAGUCGGGAAUAUUGCGCAAUGGAGGAAACUCUGACGCAGUGACGCCGCGUAUAGGAAGAAGGUUUUCGGAUUGUAAACUAUUGUCCACAGGGAAGAUAAAAGACUGUACCUGUGAAGAAAGCUCCGGCUAACUACGUGCCAGCAGCCGCGGUAAUACGUAGGGAGCAAGCGUUAUCCGGAAUUAUUGGGUGUAAAGGGUGCGUAGACGGGAUAACAAGUUAGUUGUGAAACCCCCCGGCUCAACUGAGGAACUGCAACUAAAACUAUUAUUCUUGAGUGCAGGAGAGGAAAGUGGAAUUCCUAGUGUAGCGGUGAAAUGCGUAGAUAUUAGGAAGAACACCGGUGGCGAAGGCGACUUUCUGGACUGUAACUGACGUUGAGGCACGAAAGUGUGGGGGAGCAAACAGGAUUAGAUACCCUGGUAGUCCACACUGUAAACGAUGGAUACUAGGUGUAGGAGAUAUUAAAGCUUCUGUGCCGUCGCUAACGCAGUAAGUAUCCCACCUGGGGAGUACGACCGCAAGGUUGAAACUCAAAGGAAUUGACGGGGGCCCGCACAAGCAGUGGAGUAUGUGGUUUAAUUCGAAGCAACGCGAAGAACCUUACCAGGGCUUGACAUACAAGUGAAUGUCUAAGAGAUUAGGCAGUAUUUCGGUACACUUGUACAGGUGGUGCAUGGUUGUCGUCAGCUCGUGUCGUGAGAUGUUAGGUUAAGUCCUGCAACGAGCGCAACCCCUAUACUUAGUUGCCAGCACGUAAAGGUGGGAACUCUAAGUAGACUGCCGGUGAUAAAUCGGAGGAAGGUGGGGACGACGUCAAAUCAUCAUGCCCUUUAUGUCCUGGGCUACACACGUACUACAAUGGCUAUAACAAAGAGAAGCGAGACGGAGACGUUAAGCGAAACCCAAAAAAGUAGUCUCAGUUCGGAUUGAAGGCUGAAAUUCGCCUUCAUGAAGCCGGAAUUGCUAGUAAUGGCAGGUCAGCAUACUGCCGUGAAUACGUUCCCGGGCCUUGUACACACCGCCCGUCACACCAUGAGAGUUGGGAAUACCCGAAGCCUGUGAGCUAACGUAAGAGGCAGCAGUCGAAGGUAGAAUCAAUGAUUGGGGUG
Molecule: ribosomal RNA, 1444 nt
Filed under: uncultured bacterium
Lineage: Bacteria
Description: bacterial SSU rRNA
Rfam family: Bacterial small subunit ribosomal RNA
Source: RNAcentral